GAUGAACGCUGGCGGCGUGCCUAAUACAUGCAAGUCGAGCGAACAGACGAGGAGCUUGCUCCUCUGACGUUAGCGGCGGACGGGUGAGUAACACGUGGAUAACCUACCUAUAAGACUGGGAUAACUUCGGGAAACCGGAGCUAAUACCGGAUAAUAUAUUGAACCGCAUGGUCCAAUAGUGAAAGACGGUUUUGCUGUCACUUAUAGAUGGAUCCGCGCCGCAUUAGCUAGUUGGUAAGGUAACGGCUUACCAAGGCAACGAUGCGUAGCCGACCUGAGAGGGUGAUCGGCCACACUGGAACUGAGACACGGUCCAGACUCCUACGGGAGGCAGCAGUAGGGAAUCUUCCGCAAUGGGCGAAAGCCUGACGGAGCAACGCCGCGUGAGUGAUGAAGGUCUUCGGAUCGUAAAACUCUGUUAUUAGGGAAGAACAAAUGUGUGAGUAACUAUGCACGUCUUGACGGUACCUAAACAGAAAGCAACGGCUAACUACGUG
This 497-nucleotide ribosomal RNA is filed under the name uncultured bacterium. RNAcentral's name for it is "partial 16S ribosomal RNA". It matches the Rfam family "Bacterial small subunit ribosomal RNA", at positions 28 to 507 of the family's 1533-position model. The record is from RNAcentral.